CGUAAAGAGCUCGUAGGUGGUUUGUCGCGUUGUUCGUGAAAUCUCACGGCUUAACUGUGAGCGUGCGGGCGAUACGGGCAGACUUGAGUACUGCAGGGGAGACUGGAAUUCCUGGUGUAGCGGUGGAAUGCGCAGAUAUCAGGAGGAACACCGGUGGCGAAGGCGGGUCUCUGGGCAGUAACUGACGCUGAGGAGCGAAAGCGUGGGGAGCGAACAGGAUUAGAUACCCUGGUAGUCCACGCCGUAAACGGUGGGUACUAGGUGUGGGUUUCCUUCCUUGGGAUCCGUGCCGUAGCUAACGCAUUAAGUACCCCGCCUGGGGAGUACGGCCGCAAGGCUAAAACUCAAAGAAAUUGACGGGGGCCCGCACAAGCGGCGGAGCAUGUGGAUUAAUUCGAUGCAACGCGAAGAACCUUACCUGGGUUUGACAUGCACAGGACGCCGGCAGAGAUGUCGGUUCCCUUGUGGCCUGUGUGCAGGUGGUGCAUGGCUGUCGUCAGCUCGUGUCGUGAGAUGUUGGGUUAAGUCCCGCAACGAGCGCAACCCUUGUCUCAUGUUGCCAGCGGGUAAUGCCGGGGACUCGUGAGAGACUGCCGGGGUCAACUCGGAGGAAGGUGGGGAUGACGUCAAGUCAUCAUGCCCCUUAUGUCCAGGGCUUCACACAUGCUACAAUGGCCGGUACAAAGGGCUGCGAUGCCGCGAGGUUAAGCGAAUCCUUUUAAAGCCGGUCUCAGUUCGGAUCGGGGUCUGCAACUCGACCCCGUGAAGUCGGAGUCGCUAGUAA
Molecule: ribosomal RNA, 784 nt
Filed under: uncultured Mycobacterium sp.
Lineage: Bacteria; Bacillati; Actinomycetota; Actinomycetes; Mycobacteriales; Mycobacteriaceae
Description: bacterial SSU rRNA
Rfam family: Bacterial small subunit ribosomal RNA
Source: RNAcentral